GGCGCUAUAGUGUAGUGGUUAUCACUUGGGAUUCUGAUUUGAGGUGUUCCCAAAACCCAGGUUCGAGCCCUGGUAGCGCCU
RNAcentral lists this transfer RNA (81 nucleotides) under Trametes coccinea BRFM310. RNAcentral's name for it is "Trametes coccinea (strain BRFM310) tRNA". It matches the Rfam family "tRNA". Rfam says of the family: Transfer RNA (tRNA) molecules are approximately 80 nucleotides in length. The record is from Rfam by way of RNAcentral. Lineage: Eukaryota; Fungi; Basidiomycota; Agaricomycetes; Polyporales; Polyporaceae.